This 1374-nucleotide ribosomal RNA is filed under the name Triticum aestivum (bread wheat). RNAcentral's name for it is "partial small subunit ribosomal RNA". The record is from RNAcentral. Lineage: Eukaryota; Viridiplantae; Streptophyta; Magnoliopsida; Poales; Poaceae.
AUGGGGGGCGUGGGUUCCUCCACGAGUCAACGGCGGGGGAAGGAGGCGCCGAUGGCCGGCCCGGACUACCUGAUGUCCCUUCCGCCUGAGAUGCUCGACGACAUCCUCCGUCGGCUCCCCUUCGAGAAGUUGGUCGGCACCUGUUGUCUCUCCCCUGCUUGGCACCGUCGAUGGGAAUCCGUCCCCGGCCUCGACAUCUGGUUCAGUCAAGGAUCCUCCACCGCACGCGAUCCACGCUUGCUGCGGUGGCCGUGCGCCGCGCCCGUCCACAAAUUCACCGCCCGCAGCCUAUGGCAGUGCACCGCUCCCAUCCGCAGCUUCACCGCCCAUGUCCAAAGGUGCCACUCCCACCGUGCCGCCCGCUGGCUCCUCGCCCUGGCGCACAAGCGCGUCGAGAUGCUCAAGCUCAAGUUCGACAUGCCCUGGCCCGUCCACUUGGCCCGCCCGCCCGUGGUCGGCCCGGCCCUUUACUCCUGCAGCGCACUCACCCACCUCCAGCUCUGUGGCUAUUGCCACUUGUUGCGCGCUCCUCAGGGCUUCGCAGGCUUCCCCAACCUCUUCACCCUCUGCCUCGAGUAUGUGGUCCUCCCUUUCCAUGGCGCCGUGGCGCAACUCCAACUCAUAAUCUCCUCGGCACCGCGCCUCACGAGGCUCUUGUUGGAUGAUGUCAUGAUCGGCGAUGAGGAGGCUGAUAUCGAAACGUGUGCCAUCCAGGCACCCAACCUCCGUUUCCUCAAGUUGAUCAUGACCCUUGACAACGGAUGCCGAAUUGCGGGGGAGCUCCCAUUGCUGAAGGUGGCACAAAUUUCCAUUGAUCCCCUAUUCGGGACCCCAAACUUCAUCAACACUUUCCGACGGAUUUCUAGUGUUAAGAAGCUUUACUUGCUCACCGACUCAGAUCAGACUAUGGAAAAUCCGCUGGAAAGGAUUUUAUGGACGUUCCAGAACUUGAGGGCUGUACAACUGACUGCAAAUUUCGGCAAAUUCCCAAGCAUUAUGUCGAUAUUUUCUUCACUGAGAUUUGGUCCUCACAUUGAAAAACUCAAAAUUCAGGUAAUCAGGCCGGAAGUUGAAACUGGCAAUGAUGAUGCCAUCGAUCAAGAUAUUCUUGAUGCAGUGAUAUAUGAUGACAUGUUUGCUAAUCUCAAACAUGUCUCGGUGGAUCGCCCAAAGUACUUGCCAAAUGACAUGUGGUUUAUGAAGUUUCUGCUAUCAAAAGCAGGGCUGCUUGAAUACUUUUUUGUCAGUUUCAACCAUGGAGAAGAAACCAAAGCUUACGUGGAAGGAUGUAAAGAGUUGGCAAUGUGUGAAAAGGCGUCUUCGGAAGCUAUGCUCAUACUAAGGCCUAGAGACAAGCCUACCCCAAAUCUUUAA